GUAGGUGGCAAGCGUUGUCCGGAAUUAUUGGGCGUAAAGCGCGCGCAGGCGGUUCUUUAAGUCUGAUGUGAAAGCCCACGGCUCAACCGUGGAGGGUCAUUGGAAACUGGAGAACUUGAGUACAGAAGAGGAAAGCGGAGUUCCACGUGUAGCGGUGAAAUGCGUAGAGAUGUGGAGGAACACCAGUGGCGAAGGCGGCUUUCUGGUCUGUAACUGACGCUGAGGCGCGAAAGCGUGGGGAGCAAGCAGGAUUAGAUACCCUGGUAGUCCACGCCGUAAACGAUGAGUGCUAAGUGUUAGGGGGUUUCCGCCCCUUAGUGCUGCAGCUAACGCAUUAAGCACUCCGCCUGGGAGUACGGCCGCAAGGCUG
RNAcentral lists this ribosomal RNA (370 nucleotides) under uncultured organism. Its description in RNAcentral is "partial 16S ribosomal RNA". It matches the Rfam family "Bacterial small subunit ribosomal RNA", at positions 527 to 896 of the family's 1533-position model. The record is from RNAcentral.